GAUGAACGCUGGCGGCGUGCCUAAUACAUGCAAGUCGAGCGAACAGACGAGGAGCUUGCUCCUCUGACGUUAGCGGCGGACGGGUGAGUAACACGUGGAUAACCUACCUAUAAGACUGGGAUAACUUCGGGAAACCGCAGCUAAUACCGGAUAAUAUAUCGAACCGCAUGGAUCAAUAGUGAAAGACGGUUUUGCUGUCACUUAUAGAUGGAUCCGCGCCGCAUUAGCUAGUUGGUAAGGUAACGGCUUACCAAGGCAACGAUGCGUAGCUGACCUGAGAGGGUGAUCGGACACACUGGAACUGAGACACGGUCCAGACUCCUACGGUAGGCAGCGAUAGGGAAUCUUCCACAAUUGGCGAAAGCCUGACGGAGCAACGCCGCGUGAGUGAUGAAGGUCUUCGGAUCGUAAACCUCUGUUAUUAGGGAAGAACAAAAGUAUAAGUAACUAUGCACGUCUUGACGGUACCUAAACAGAAAGCCACGGCUAACUACGUG
Molecule: ribosomal RNA, 497 nt
Filed under: uncultured bacterium
Lineage: Bacteria
Description: partial 16S ribosomal RNA
Rfam family: Bacterial small subunit ribosomal RNA
Source: RNAcentral